UACGGAGGGUGCAAGCGUUAUCCGGAUUCACUGGGUUUAAAGGGUGCGUAGGCGGGUAGGUAAGUCCGUGGUGAAAUCUCUGAGCUUAACUCAGAAACUGCCGUGGAUACUAUUUUGCCUUGAAUAUUGUGGAGGUGAGCGGAAUAUGUCAUGUAGCGGUGAAAUGCUUAGAUAUGACAUAGAACACCAAUUGCGAAGGCAGCUCACUACACAAUGAUUGACGCUGAGGCACGAAAGCGUGGGGAUCAAACAGGA
RNAcentral lists this ribosomal RNA (255 nucleotides) under uncultured bacterium. RNAcentral's name for it is "partial 16S ribosomal RNA". It matches the Rfam family "Bacterial small subunit ribosomal RNA", at positions 524 to 777 of the family's 1533-position model. The record is from RNAcentral.